This 434-nucleotide ribosomal RNA is filed under the name uncultured Clostridium sp. RNAcentral's name for it is "partial 16S ribosomal RNA". It matches the Rfam family "Bacterial small subunit ribosomal RNA", at positions 341 to 792 of the family's 1533-position model. The record is from RNAcentral. Lineage: Bacteria; Bacillati; Bacillota; Clostridia; Eubacteriales; Clostridiaceae.
ACGGAAGGCAGCAGUGGGGAAUAUUGCACAAUGGGGGAAACCCUGAUGCAGCAACGCCGCGUGAGUGAUGACGGUCUUCGGAUUGUAAAGCUCUGUCUUCAGGGACGAUAAUGACGGUACCUGAGGAGGAAGCCACGGCUAACUACGUGCCAGCAGCCGCGGUAAUACGUAGGUGGCAAGCGUUGUCCGGAUUUACUGGGCGUAAAGGGAGCGUAGGCGGACUUUUAAGUGGGAUGUGAAAUACCCGGGCUUAACCUGGGUGCUGCAUUCCAAACUGGGAGUCUAGAGUGCAGGAGGGGAAAGUGGAAUUCCUAGUGUAGCGGUGAAAUGCGUAGAGAUUAGGAAGAACACCGGUGGCGAAGGCGACUUUCUGGACUGUAACUGACGCUGAGGCGCGAAAGUGUGGGGAGCAAACAGGAUUAGAUACCCUGGUA